AGUGAGGCAAAAGACCAGAAGGCAUUCCCAAGAUGAUCUGCUAGAGACUCUGUCAGAGAGGCGCCAGAGAAGGUCUACAGCAUUGAGAAUCAAUCAAUCAAUCAAUCAAUCAAUCAACGAGACAUUUGACCAGAGAUCUUCCAAGAGCCAGAGAAGAAGCUCUUACCUGCAGAUCAAGACUUGCUGAUCCAGAGAUCUACGUCGAGAGCCACGAGCCAUCAUCAGUUCACAGAUCUGUCUUACACAUUGAUGUCAUUUGAUAUGACUUACGGAGAAUCUCCCUGCACCAAACUGCUUCCCUAACAGAGUCAGUGCACCAACACUCGUGGAAACUAACUGGAUCUCAGAAAUUACUCCCCUCGUGUGACUUCACUUAAAUAAGCCUUCUUCAUGCAAAGCUGAGCUCUAUGGAACUGAGUGCUAGAGGAUAGCAAGGCUAUGAAAUCGACGGCAAUAUUGAAUCCCAGGAUCAAAAUUACAGCUGUGUGGAAGAGAAAUGAGUAAAGAACACAGUGAGAGAGGAAGAGACUCCAGUAGAGAAAUACAGAGGCAGAGGUAUCCCAGAGGCUAACCUCAAGCUUAUUGUUGCAGCCCAUGAGAAGCAGAUGGUAAUUAGUGUUCAGCUAUCAACCCGCCAGAGGCAUGGAUAUCUGAUGGAGGAUUAAUCCUGUCCAGACAAGGUCUGUAAGACCAUUGACUCUGAAAGCUGUUGCUUACCUUUGCUGAAGCAGCUUGGUAUCUUCCCAAUACCUGCAUUGUAGUGUGUAAUCUCACAUGAUGUGUACAUGUAACCUCAUGAUUGCAGCCCAGUCUUAUGGGCACAUAUAUCUGUGGGUGAUUGGGUAUAUGACUUUUCAUUUAACAAUAUACUUCUGAUAUAUAGAAUAUAUACUGGGACUUGCUUCAUAAUUGGAACUAUUUGUCCCACAAGGACUGUGGACAUUGAAAAGUCUGCUUUCUUCUUUUGCUUACUAGAAUGGCUUCCUCCAUCCAAUGAAACCUCCAAUGAGAGAAUGUGAUCAUAUAGCCAGAAGCCUUGGUUCCCACAGCCAUAUCUCUGUUCUGUUCCCUGAGAUACAUUAGAAGUCACCUCUCUCAAAGUAUCUUUCAUUUGCCAGAACAUUCAGUCAGGGAAUUAGUCUUUCAUAUGAAUCACAUUUGGGACCUUCAAGGAUAAAGGAACAUCCGAGCUUAGAGAAUUGCCUUUGUUUUGCAUGUGUAUAUAAAUUGGAAUCUUGGAAGAAAAAAAAAGAAGAGUAAAGAAACUGAUGCAGAAAAGUACAUGGUGGAGAGUUCAUUUUGUCCUUAGAACUAAGUCCUGUGCUUGCUGUGACUCUUCUGCUGAACCCUGAAGGGGACACAGAUGUUGGCACUUAGAGGUCCCUGAUAGCUUAUAAUGUAAUAGAAUGCUGGGAUUACAGGCCUCUGUCACCAAACUCGACUUGUGCAGUACAGACAAUGGAACCCCAGACUAUGUGCAUGAGAGGCAAGCACUCUACAAAUUGAUCUAUAGUCCGAGUGAACAAGCAUAAGUAUAUCAUCUCUAAUUCAAGAUUUAUUAUGAGAUUUCUUAGUCCACAAUGCUGCCAUGCUAACAAGAUAGAAACUACAAAGAAGUUCAGCUUCUCUAGCUAUCCAGCAGGCAAACUUCCUGCAGGUAAGCACCCCCACCCCAGCCAAUGGAUCCUGCAGGCUACAAGUCCCACUCUUUCACCAAUAUGCUCCUAUCCCUCGCAACCUCAGAGGAACUCUGAAACACAGGCUGCAGUUUCACAGAGAGGAUGAAGAGGUGAGUGAAAUCCACUUGGUGGGACACCCCACUCUCUAGAUCCUCCAUAUCAAGGCAAAACCAUGGACCCCUCCCCCACCUGCCUUUGCUUCUCUAGCCAUUCAACAGGCAAGCUUCCUACAAGUAGGCUGCUCCAAAACCCCCACCCCAUUUAUCAGACCUUGCAAACUAUAAGUUCCACUCUACCUUCAAACCCUCCUAUUCCCCGUAACUUUAGAGGAACUUUGAAACACAAGCUGCAACUACACAGAAAGAACUAAGAGAGAGCACAAGAGAGGAACCCUGAAGUACAGGCUGUGACUACACAGAGAGUACCAAGAAAGGAACUCUGAAGCAUAGUCAGUGACUGUGCAGAGUGGACCAAGAGAGAAAACCAAGAGGGCAGACCAAGAGAGCAGGCCAAGAGAGCGGACGAUGAGAAAUCUCAGUGGCUUCCUAAGACACAGACAGCAACAGUACAGAGUAGAACAAGAGCAGUUCCCAAAGACACAGACAGUCACUGCAAGGAUUGGAUCAAGAGGCAAAGACACUGCCAGCACCAAUUGGAGGAAGAGAUGCUUUGGUGACGAUGCAAGCAUUUAUUCAUCAAUCUAAAAGGCAACAUGGUAACACCAGAACCCAGAGGGCAUACAACAGGAAGACUUGAUCAUCCUAGCCCAGGAG
This is a non-coding RNA of Myodes glareolus (Bank vole), 2452 nucleotides long. The record is from RefSeq and is a predicted model, not a curated record. NCBI's taxonomy places the organism in Eukaryota, Metazoa, Chordata, Mammalia, Rodentia, Cricetidae.